CGCGCAGCGUCCCAGGCCCCGGUCCUCCACACUCCACUGUCUCUCACACUCACACAGUCUCACAAAGGCUCGUGGGCUCGUGGCCUGGCCUCUAUAAACCCCCGCCCAGCCGGUCACCCCCACCCCAUCGCAAAUCCUCGCUCGGGCAAGAAGAGCCAACUGAAAAGUAUUCAUCCAAGAACACCACCCCACCCGCUCCAAGCACAAGUUUCGUCUUGAAGAGAGCCGCCACCACCAAUGGCUUGUUACAACACUGCAUCUUUAGCGGCGACUCUGCUGGCGUUCGCGCUGACGUUUCAGGCCUGCCUCGCCGGGAGGAGGCUCACCGCGCUGGUGCAGGAGCCGGCCAUAACCAUGAGGUACCACAAGGGCGCGCUCCUGUCGGGCCCCAUCGCCGUCAACUUCAUCUGGUACGGCGACUUCUCGGCGCCGCAGCGGGCGGCGAUCACCGACUUCGUCUCGUCGCUGACGGCGGCGGCCCCGGCCGCGGCGCAGCCGGAGCCGUCCGUGGCCACGUGGUUCAAGACGGCGCGCAAGUACUACGCCAGCUCCAAGGUGCCGUUCCCGGCGCUGCGCCUCGGCUCCCACGCCGUCGACCGGAACUGCUCCCUCGGCAGGCGCCUGACGGAGAGGGACCUGCUCAGGCUCGCCGCCAGGGGAGCCCCGAGCCGCGCCAUCAACCUGGUGCUCACGGCCGCCGACGUGGCCGUGGACGGGUUCUGCGAGUCCCGGUGCGGCACGCACGGCGCGUCCCCGCGGUCCCGCUCCGGCCGGUUCGCGUACGCGUGGGUCGGCAACCCGGCGUCGCAGUGCCCCGGGCAGUGCGCGUGGCCGUUCCACCAGCCCGUGUACGGCCCGCAGGCGGCGCCGCUCACCCCGCCCAACGGCGACGUUGGGGUCGACGGCAUGGUCAUCUCGCUGGCGUCCAUGCUCGUCGGCACGGUCACCAACCCGUUCGGCAACGGGUUCUACUACCAGGAGGGCUCGGCCGACGCGCCGCUGGAGGCCGCCACGGCGUGCGCCGGCGUGUACGGCAAGGGCGCGUACCCCGGCUACGCGGGCUCGCUGCUGGUAGACCAGGCCAGCGGGGCCAGCUUCAAUGCCAACGGGGCCCACGGGAGGAAGUACCUGGUCCCGGCGCUCGUCGACCUGGACACGUCGUCGUGCGCCACCUUGGUUUAGAUUUCGCUGGUCGUAAUCAGUGUUUUGUGGUGGCGGGUGCUGUGCGUGGAGAGUGUUCCACGCGGCUGACGAUUCUAGUAGUGUAGUGACCUGUGACCAUGGUGGAUUCUUUCAUCUGUUCAAUGAAAAAAAAGAAAUAUUUUCACGCACACACGUCGGUCGAUUUUGCCAACAAUAUACUCUGUUCCCCCAAAGAUUUUGCCAGGUUUGAGCAUGAGCAAGAUGCAUGAAUCUGUACGACAUGAAAUCAUGUGCUAUCCUGAACCUGUUCGCGCAGAUGGUAAAUGUUCGUUGUACCAAGGGAAGAAAGAUAGUAGUUGCACACGAACACUAUGACGCGGUCAGAAAAAAUAAUGCUAUCCGGCCAUGGGAACUGCGAAAUCCGCGAGGAUGUUCCCUGAAGUCAUGUGCGAGAGCCGAGCAGCGGGCGCAUCGAAAGAUACCUGAUUCGAUGUUAUUACGCCGUCUAGUUGUGCUGUAAAACCACUUGCCGUUGCAA
RNAcentral lists this unclassified non-coding RNA (1681 nucleotides) under Zea mays. Its description in RNAcentral is "misc RNA Zm00001eb255420". The record is from RNAcentral. Lineage: Eukaryota; Viridiplantae; Streptophyta; Magnoliopsida; Poales; Poaceae.